Long non-coding RNA from Tympanuchus pallidicinctus (lesser prairie-chicken), 1514 nucleotides. RefSeq lists it as uncharacterized. NCBI's taxonomy places the organism in Eukaryota, Metazoa, Chordata, Aves, Galliformes, Phasianidae. The record is from RefSeq and is a predicted model, not a curated record. The transcript has 3 exons.
ACAAUGAAGAUCUGAAUUUUUUUUCUGCAGGCAGCCACGUAUUUUCAAGACGUUUCAAGUUCGUAUUCCCGUAUUUUCUUGCAGUCAUUGCAGAUGAGCAGAUAAUAUCCAGCUCCUGUUUAACCUCUGCAACUAGUGCACCAGGUGAGGGAAAUAGCUGUUUGAGAUUUGUCAUCCCUCUUCCUGUUUGUACUAUGCACGGCCAAGUAAAGGGAACACACCUAUCUCCUGGAAGAAGUUGAACAAGACCUGACAAGUGAGAAAUAGUUAUACUCUGUGAUACCACACAGCCCAUUCUAAGGGAUGAAUCCAUAACAGCAGUGCAUUCUUUGGAAUUAUUUCUGUAUCAUGUGGAUGCAUCUGAGAGAGUUGUGAAGACAGUUGGCUCAGUGUCUAUCAAGAAAGACAGAAGCACAUAUAUAUUAUUUUCCACACUUCUACAUAUUGUAGCAUCUUGUGUUUGUUUCUUAGGCAGGUUGCCUAAGAUGUCUCUCAGUGAAAAAUCAAAAUCCCCUUUGGAGUCAUAAACAUCUCCAGUCUUCCCAAAUACUAAGUUUGUGACACAGGAUGCUUGCAUUACUUCCAAUUAAUUUCAGUUUAGUUGCGAGGCGCUCCACAAUUUCAGUGGGAUUACAACUGAUUUGCCCAGGCAAGAGAGCUAUCAAACCUUCUAAUUCCUAGCAACUCCCAUUAUCCCCUAUCAGAUCUUAACCAUAAAUAAAUAAAUACAACCCCACAAAUGGUUACAAUGGAAGUGAGUAGAUUUUAUUAAAUGUGAAGUGAUACCUAAAUGUACUCAGAUGGAUGCUGAUACUCCCGUAUGGAUUGUUGCUUAAUGAAAUCUUGGUGUUAACAGCUCUUUUGGACAAGUAUCAUGUUUUCAGCAUACAGAGCUACUGUAAGCAUUCUUCUGGAAAACAACAAGAAAGAUUGCAUCAUUCUUCAGCCAUGGCUGUUAUUUAAUGACUACACAUUUUUGACAGUUUAUUUUUCUGAUCCUAUUUUUCGCGAAAGUUGCUCAGAUUUCACACCUGUUUAUUCAAUUUCAAUAACUAUAGGAGAAAAACGCUGUAAUCUACAGAAAUCUGAAAUUAUUUUUUCAAAGAGUUCUUGAACUAAAUUCAGAAGGAGAUUGUCAAUUCAUUGAAUCUUGCGUGUGCUCUGCAUUGUGCAGGGUGUGUGACUUGCCUCCAGAUGGUGCUCUCACAUUGACAUUUUAGAGUUCUGUUAGUGUUACAGUUUUCAUUAUUCUCUCAAAAUCAGCAUUAGCUCUCAGAUUAGCAAGAAAAUAAUUUGGUAGAAUGCGUGCCAAUGUACCAUAUGUUCAUUACAGAUAACUGAUAUUCCCUAGAUUUUAUUAGGAAACUACUUUUAGUUCUAGGAAAAAAUUUUACUGAAACUGUGUAAUAUUUUAAUACAAAGGUGGGAAUUCCGUGAACCUUUAAACCGUGUAAUGAGCAUUAUUUAAGCAAUAUCUUCAUGGUUGAGUAAUAUCAGCUCCAGCGAGGUAAUAA